RNAcentral lists this ribosomal RNA (253 nucleotides) under uncultured bacterium. Its description in RNAcentral is "partial 16S ribosomal RNA". It matches the Rfam family "Bacterial small subunit ribosomal RNA", at positions 524 to 776 of the family's 1533-position model. The record is from RNAcentral.
GACAGAGGCCACGAACGUUGUUCGGAAUCACUGGGCAUAAAGCGCACGUAGGCGGCUAGGUCCGUCCGAUGUGAAAGCCCCCGGCUCAACCGGGGAAUGGCAUCGGAUACAGCCUGGCUUGAGGACGGUUGGGGUGAGUGGAACUCCUGGUGGAGCGGUGAGAUGCGUAGAUAUCAGGAGGAACACCGGUGGCGAAAGCGGCUCACUGGACCGUUACUGACGCUGAGGUGCGAAAGCUAGGGGAGCAAACGGG